ACUAUAGUGACCUUUUUUUUAUUGAGCCUAUUUAAUUAGUUUGAGUUUUUUGUAUUUGUUCGUGUUUUUCAAUAAUUUAUUGGGAUUGACAUUGGUAAGGUAUCUGUAAUUUAAGUUUUUAACCUAACAAAGACUGCACCUCAGUUUAGUUUCUGUUAUAGUGAAACAUGCUUUAUGUCUUUUCGUAGGAACUGAGGCAUCCUUAGCUGGAAUACUUACUCAUUCACAAUGAAUAAUUUUUAUAAUAUAUAUGAGAAAAUGCUUCCGUGGAUAAACACAUCAAAGAUGGUAUUUUUUGUAUGCAGUUACUGUAAUAAUCAAUUUUCUUUCUCUCGCUAUGUCUUCCAUUCCCUGUGAUUCAAAAACACCGAGUAUAAGUGUUUCAAGUGCUUUUGGUGUCAAAGUAUGCAGCCAGUGAUUGUGACCUAUUCUUGAUAGGCUGACGAUGGACACAUUGUGUGAUAUGCAUUAUUGGCUGACCUGGAGUCAACCACUUCCCACAUUUCAAAGCGACCCGUGUUUCUGCCAGACGAGACCCCUUACUCCAUUCCCACCACUGGGAAUUAUUUCCAGGAUCAAUCACUUCCACCUCCACUCCCUCCUCCGCCUACAGCUGAGGCCCUGAAUGGUUCGCUGCAAGACCACUCCCAUCACUCCUCACAUCAGAUUUGGGAGUGCGAUGGCGCGGACGCAUACGCACCCGUCAAAUCACAGUGACUGAAGAAAUCAUUUUAUAUAUUCAAACAAUGGAAUCGAAUCUCUCACUUAAUUUGUUUUAAUCCCUGCAUGAUGUUACCAUGGCUUCUCAUGAGAGAAGUCUUAAAGAUACCCAAGUCAUUGUUUUUGAGUCUUGUUCAUAUAAAUAGUUUUAAAAUGGCUGCAGUCUUUAGGUUCGGCCCAGAAGAGCUCCUGGUCGAGGGACAGUAGCAGCUCUCCAUCUCACAUUGAAGAGGACCACGUCUACAGCUUUCCAGACAAACAAAAAUCAUCUGACACGUCAACAGCACCCAUGACCUCUGCCCUAGGCACCAACUUGUCGGAGCUUGAUAGACUGCUGCUGGAGCUUAAUGCUGUUCAACAAAGUUCCCCUUCAUUCCCAACUACCGAAGAGAGGCCUCCACCCCUACCAUCCACCAGCACCACUCACUAUGAGAAUGGGAUCAGGGUUAGCCCUUCCCCUCAGGAGGAGCCCAAGCAUAAUGGAACAAGGCAGGAUGAGGUCCGCCCCACGGUGGAGAGUCUUUUAGACGAGCUGGAGGGUUCAGUACCUUCAACCAGUCCUUCCCCUCACCUCAGUGAUUUGGACAGCCCCUCUCAACAGCAAGCACGGAUUUCAGCUUCAUGUGCCACAAGAGAGUUAGAUGAGUUGAUGGCCUCUUUGUCUGACUUCAAGCCUGGCUCUUCUUCCACCUCUCCUCAUCCUCCAGUCUCUACAUUCACCCCCCCAGUGACUUCUCCUUUCCUCAGUCUGUCCCCCCCAUCUACCUGUGCCUCUCCUAUGUUCUCUUUGCCUCCUGGUCUAGAACUGCACAUAGAUGAAGACGGAAUGGAUAGAAGCUUGUCAACUGCCUUUCGGAAUCAUCUUGCUUGCCAUAGUCCUCUAUCGCCCGUUUCUGGAGCCAGUGAUCUCGACUCCAUCGCAGAUGUAUUUGCCACUGUUCCACCAUCCCCUAACAAUUCCCUGCUUAUCCUCAAUGCUUCCGUAAGGAGCAACCAGAAGAGAAAUAGUUCAAGCCCAUCCAGUACUCCAUCAAUGACUUCAGUAAACACUGUCUUGGAUCACAAGACCUCCAAUUCACCUAGUCCAUCUGUGGAGCGUCUUUCAUCCUCAGCACCUGCUUGUAAAGUAUCAUGUUCACCUGACACUAUGAUCACUGACUCUUUUUCCAUCCAAGAUCCUAGUUCGAAUCUCUCUGUGUCAAAGACUCCGUCACCUCUCCCUUCUACUUCUGUAAUAUCAUCACCCCAUACCAGUAACUCCCUCAAAACCUCCUCCCUGGUCUCUCUGGCCAACAUUCCUUCACCAAUGGCUGUCCCAAGCUCUUUGAUUCCCAAUGGAGCUCUGUUGCAGCCAGUAGCCACAGCCAAGUGUGCCAGCCCCCCCAUUUUGCAUCUACUCCCUGUCGAAGAACCCUCCCUACAGGAAGUGCUGGACAAGCUGCUAGAAAUGAGUUUUUCACAGAGUCAAUCAGCGACCCAGAUGAAAGCUCUGCAGUUGCAUACAGAGGCGCACGGUCUCGACAGAGGAGCCCCUGAGGCGCAGGAGAUCAUCUUGCCCAUGGACAGAAACAAUGUACAGCCUGACAUGUUCACCUGCACCACCAACACCAUCACGGAUGAAUCAGUGGACGGAGGCACUGACACAAAUGGAUAUCUGGACUGGACUGAUGAGGAGCUGUCCAUGUCCUUCCACGACGGACUGGAUGGCACCCUGACGCCUUAUACUGAGAGGCUGUACACGGAUGGUAGCGUGACUCCUCUGACAGAAGCGAGCUGGAUGGACGAAUCCAUAACGCCAUCCACAUGUCCCGGGACACCCGAUGUUACCCUGGACCUGCCUUUGCUGCAGCCGCCCAAUAUGGACAGAAUGUCUACCUCCGGACACGUAGGCAUCUCUCUUGCUCAAUGCAGGACAUCGUUGUGUUUCUCCCAUGUAACUUUGUUUGCUUAUUGGAGUGAUGCGUCACUAUCAGUUGGGGCCUGCUGCUGCAUCCUACGUUUGUCACUUGAAAAGAAUGAAACAUCCCAUUGAGCACAUUUUCCCACAUUUAUAAAUGCCUCAGUGUUGACAUUAGGCUGUUAACAUAGAUUGUUUUGCUGUUCUACUUACUAUAUGUUACCAGAAAAGCUUAACUGUAAGUUGUUUGGGCUUCUAGAGGGUGUGAGAAGAAUGCAAUGGUUUGCAACCGCAUGGAGGAGUGUGACUAUUUCGCCCCUUCCCCAACUACUGCAUCCUUGCCUGUGGGUGAUUGGAAAGGUCAUCAUGUGACUCGUCUGCUCACUUUGUUGAUACUGGUCCCAACUGAGCCGUGGUUAUUAUGGAUUGAUGAUGAACUGCUCACCAUUCCUGUCUAGAUCAAGUCAGUGAUAAGGCGCACUAAGGAGAUCCCCAAUGUGCACCCUAUGUAUCGAGAUGGUCACCCACGCAAGAAAAUGGGCCCUGUCAUUGUAAACAAAAAUUCCUCCCAGGACCGCCUCAUUGAGGAGCUUCAGGGCAAGUUUGGCAUCAGCCGCUCUGAGCACCAGCGUAAACAGUCAGAUGAGUGGCUGACGGACGGGGUUAUUGUCACGUCCAAGUCUCAACGCUUCCGUCCUGAUGGAGUGGCUGGUGAGGUGGACAAGGUUGGCUGCAGUGUUCUCAACGUUCCCUCAGUUGAUUGACCUUCAGUGUCUAUACUGUUUCUCUUUGUAUGCUUCCUUUUGUGUGUCUCCUUCCACUUUAGAUUGUAAUUGCGCCCGGUUCACCUGCUCCCGUGAGAAGGGUUCUCCCACCUCAGUCACCUCCCUCUCCUCAUCAUCUUCCUAUCAUUGAAGAACCCCAGCAAAUACUUCCAGUACAGCAGCCUCCUGCUUCUAUACCACCACUCCCUCUGCCUCCCUCUCCCCAUCCUCAGCCUCCUCACAGCCAAGGGCAAGUCACAGCAUCACCUCAAGUCCCCUCUGGAUAUUCAUACAACUCCAACCAAGCCUUCACGUGUGGACAGUGUUCCAACAGUUGCACCCAAAGUCCUGGUAUCGAUAGGCUGCCAAACUGAGUAUGACCCACUCUUCUCCUCAGUGCAG
Molecule: RNA transcript, 3783 nt
Organism: Syngnathoides biaculeatus (alligator pipefish)
Lineage: Eukaryota; Metazoa; Chordata; Actinopteri; Syngnathiformes; Syngnathidae
Gene name: paxillin-like
Exons: 8
Source: RefSeq, a predicted model, not a curated record